CAAUAGCGUAUAUUAAAGUUGUUGCGGUUAAAAAGCUCGUAGUUGGAUUUCUGUCGGUGAGCGAAAGUCCGCUCUCAGUGGUUGGUACUUUUCGCGCCACCGGCAUCUUCCUGGGAGUGUGUCUGCUCUUUGUUGAUGUGGGCGCAUAAUCCAGGACUUUUACUUUGAAGAAAUGAGAGUGUUUCAAGCAGGCCUUCGCCGUGAAUACGUUAGCAUGGAAUAAUAGCAUCGGACCUCGUUCCAAAGCUGUUGGUUUCUUGGACCGAGGUAAAGGUGAAUAGGGAUUGUUGGGGCAUGCGUAUUUAAUACUGUCAGAGGUGAAAUUCUUGGAUUUGUUGAAGACGGACUACUGCGAAAGCAUCUGCCAAAGAUGUUCUCAUUGAUCAAGAACGAAAGUUAGGGGAUCGAAGACGAUCAGAUACCA
RNAcentral lists this ribosomal RNA (424 nucleotides) under uncultured eukaryote. Its description in RNAcentral is "SSU rRNA". It matches the Rfam family "Eukaryotic small subunit ribosomal RNA", at positions 592 to 1017 of the family's 1831-position model. The record is from RNAcentral.